GUACUAUGUGAAAUAAGAGUGGUGAAAGUGGCCAUCUUUGUCUCAUUCCAGUUCUUGGAAGACAAGUUUUCAGCUUUUCUUUGUUCAAUAUGGUGUGGUCUUGUUAUAUUUUGCCUUUUUGUGUUAAGGCUAAUCUACAAUCAGAAGAAGAAAAGCCUUUCAUUUGUGGACUCCAGCUAGAGGAAGGAAGCUUUUGUAUGUGGAUUCACUGGAGACCAAAAUAUUAAAAAGUGGAAGAGGAAAACCAUAUGUUGCAGUUCUCAUAAGCAGGCAGCUCAAAGUUCUGGUUAAAGAAAUGCUUGAGUUCAUUUUACAGAAAAGUAAAUAUUUUAUCAUGAGAACAGGGUAUACUAAUAAUAUUGAUACCUCUGUUACAAACAUUGACAUUUUAAGUUGUAUUCUGUUUUCUCUAAUUUUUUAAAUCAGGAAAACCUAAGAAUUAGAUAUUUCAAAGAAACACAAAAUGACCAAACAUUUUAGCAUAAUUCUUCAAAAUGUAACUUAAGAAGGAAAGAAGAGAUCCAACAGAAUAAAGAUAGAAGAUAAUUUUUAUAAGCUUAUGAUUCCUUCUCUUCUAUGAGUCACAGCAAAGUUAGCUGAUAUUUUAUAGUUGCAGCAAUUGAAUGCAGGUUAUAAUAGAAGUGGGGAAAAUCACUAAUAAUUAUCUGCAUCCUAUUUCAUAGUCAAUUCAAUAACGUAAUGUUAAGAUAGUCUCCUUAUCUCUUUUGGUUGACAAAGGGUUAUCCUUGCCUUCGUAUUACUUGUGAAUAAGCCUAGUGAUGAGAACAAGAUUAGUGUGGUCCUCUUCCAACUUCCUAUAGGAGAGAAUGCAAGAAGAUCUUCCCAUUCUUUUUAACCUGACCACAUUUGUGUUUGAUUUCCUUUCUAUGUCUUUGAAGCAGCCAAACAAAUAAAGCCUGCUUUAAUACAUGUAUCCUUUAAAGAAUAUGGCUUCCAGCUCAAAGUUUCAGUAUGUGAAACCAAAAGUAUCUAAGACAGGUCUCAAUCAAUUUAGAAAGUUUAUUUUGCCAAGGUUAAGGUGACAACCAUGACACAAUCUCAGGAGAUCCUGAUGACAUGUGCCCAAGGUGGAUGGGUCACAACUUGGUUUUAUACAUUUUAGGGAGACAUGAGACAUCAGUCAAAUACAUUUAAGAUGUACAUUGGUUCGGUCCAGAAAGUCAGAACAAUUCAAAGCAGGUGCUUCCAGGUUAUAGGUAGAUUUAAAAAUUUUCUGAUUGGCAAUUUGGUUGAAAGAGUUGCCAUCAAUAUAAAGAAAUGUCUGGGAUAUGACAAGAGGUUGUGGAGACCAAAG
This 1315-nucleotide long non-coding RNA is filed under the name Homo sapiens (human). RNAcentral describes it as "HSALNT0204344". The record is from RNAcentral. Lineage: Eukaryota; Metazoa; Chordata; Mammalia; Primates; Hominidae.